This is a long non-coding RNA of Oxyura jamaicensis (ruddy duck), 235 nucleotides long. RefSeq lists it as uncharacterized. The record is from RefSeq and is a predicted model, not a curated record. The transcript is spliced from 3 exons. Lineage: Eukaryota; Metazoa; Chordata; Aves; Anseriformes; Anatidae.
UCAGAAUAAACUUUGUUAAAUAAGGAAUUUAAAAACAGAUGGGAAAAGACAGUAGCAUGACCUAUGUCAUCAAUCUGAGAACUCUGCCAAAGUUCCCCAGUGUUACACACAAACAACAACAUCCCUUCACAUGUAUGUAAUAAAACCUCUAAGAAGCUGUUCACCCUCCUAUGAAAAUGAUAAACCACAGCAGUGAGGUUGGCUAAAUUGCCCAAAGACACUUGUAGAAUUAGUG